Molecule: long non-coding RNA, 2502 nt
Organism: Alexandromys fortis (reed vole)
Lineage: Eukaryota; Metazoa; Chordata; Mammalia; Rodentia; Cricetidae
Exons: 3
Source: RefSeq, a predicted model, not a curated record
AGAUAUGCACUCUUUAGCAAAGGAAGAUCAAAAGUCGAAAGAGCAAGUGUCUUUAUACUGUUUCUGAUUCAAGAAGGAAUAAUCCCGUCUAGAAGAGUCUUUGAUCUUUUCCUUGCCAGCAGAGCCGUGGGGAAGAUCUGCAAACUGAGAUUUCUGUUAGCAGAAGUGUCCGUGUUCCCAAGAGAAAGUCAGAAGAUAAGGAAAAUUUGUUUAUUUGUUUGUGUGAUAAUUCUUUUUAAAAGUGCAUUUCUCAUAUAUUACAUCCAAACAGCAAUUUUCCCUUCCCCUUCUCCUCACAGUCCCUCCUCCUCCAACUCCUCUCUUCCUCAAAUCCACUCCCCUUCCUUCUGCUUUAGAAAAGGGCAGGCCUCCAGGGAUAGCAACCAAACAAGGCAUACAGUUGGAGUAAAACUAGACACCUUCCCUCAUAUUAGGCUGGACAGGACAACCAGUAGGAGGAAAAAGGUCCUAUCAACAUCAGGGACAGUCUCUGCUCCCAAUAUUAGAAGUCCCACACGAAGAUUAGGUUAUAGAGCCAUAACUUAUAUAUGAAGUAACUAGGUCAGACCCACACAGCUUCUUGAUUGUCUAUUCAAUCUCUGUGAGCACCUAUGAGGCCAGGUUAGUUGCUUUGUGGGUUUUCUUACUAUGUCCUUGACCGCUCUCGCUCCUGCAAUUCCUCUCCUCUGCAACAUUCCCUGAGCUCUGCUGAAUGUUUGGCAAUGGGUCUUUGCAACUGUUUCUAUCAGUUGCUGCCUGGAGACUCUCUAAUCAUGAGUAUGCUUUCACCCUGCCUACAACUACAGCAGAAUGUCAUUAUCAUUUAAUUGCCUUUCAAUUUUUUUUUUGUUUUAUUUUGUUGUUUUUGUUUUGCUGAAUGUGUUUGUUUCUAUCCAGUCUUUAGUUCCUGGCCCAUCAACAAUGUCGGGCUUUGGCUCCCUCUUGUGGCACGGGUCUCAAGCUGGACCAUUCAUUGGCUGGCCACUCCCACAAUGUGGGUACCAUCCCAGCACGUCUUGCAUAAUGAAACUCACACCACUUCUGAAAAUAAAAUUCACCAGCUGACAGCAGACCACAUCAAGCAUGGUUUUCUCCAGAACUUGGCCACUUCUGUUUCUGUCUAUGUGUAUUUGAAGCAAGAGGAACACAUGUGUGUGUGACUUUAAUUAGGAGAACGUUUGAAUUGCUACGGGUGCUGCAGUCGCGUAAAUUGUAGCUGCAACCUGAUUCAAAUCAGGUGAUAUGGCUGAAGAAGUAAGCCUUCGUAGUAAUUGUAGAAACUUCAGGCGGAGUUCUUAGGUGAAAUCUCUCUGCAUUACAGAUGCUUGUAUAGGAGGAGGACAAAUGAAAGGUUGUCAUGUUGUGUGGCAUGAUAGCUAACAUACGCAAUGAGAAACUGUCUCUGAACUCAGAUUUGAUUUCCAGCAUCCACAUGGGGACUCAUGACUGUCUGUAGAUGUAAUUACAAAGGAUUUAAUGCCCUAUUGUGGCCUCCAUGGCACCGGGAAUGCAUGUGGUACACAGACAUAUAUGCAGGCAAAAUAACCAUAAACAUAAAAUAUUUUUAAUUAAAAACUAACAAAAAAAAUCAUUGUUCAAUAGAAAGAUACAUAGGAAUAUGGCAAGUAUGUGAUAUUCCCAACUUCAGUGAUGGUUAAAUAAUAUGGUAUAUUGUACCAAUUACACAAACUCAAAAUUCCAGAGACAAGACCCCAUGUCUCACAAGUUCACUUGUGAUGAUGACAUCACCAACCAGGCCCGGAUAAAUGGUUGGAUAUUAAAUCCACACGUCUUGUACGUCCAUUCCAGAUCUUCUUAGAUAAGGGGAAUGUUCCAAAUUUCCAACAGAAUGAAUAAUUCUGUCAGAUGGACAGCAUGGAUCAGCGACAUGUGAAUGGCAGUCCUUGGGCAGCAUGUGUUAUCCAGAAGUCAACCUUCAGGUAUGAACACCAAAAGCACAUGGCAUGCAAAGCACACAUCUCUAUGCAUGUAGUCCUCAGUCAGCCACACAGUCAUGUUCUCACUGUUUCCAUCAGGAUCGAUUUGAAGAGAAAGUUGUAAGGCUCCGGAGCAGUGCAAUAGCUAGCGAUUUGAAUCUACCUACUUGCUCAGAAGGUGAAUCUCAGUAAACUCUAAACUUAUGUCUGGGCCUGGAUGGUGAUGUCAACACCACAUCAUCACAUGUGGGCUUGUGAGACAUGGAGUCUUGUCUCUAGGGUUUUGUGUAAUUGAUGCAAUGUACCAUAUUAUUUAAAUUACUUUAAUUUAUUUUAAAAUAAUAUUGAAUGCCACUCUUACAAUAAAGUUAUAAUAAAUAUUAUAAAUAUAAAAAUACAAGUCAUAGAUACCACUAUCACUCCCAAAUAAUCAACGUUGUCAAUAAAAUAUCAUUAAAAUACAUACCGCCCAAAGUUUCUUCAGAGUGUAUUUUUACAUGUUAUAUAAUUACUACAGCUUUGUAAAACAUUUCAAGAAAGUCAUAAAAUAAUGAAGAGGAACUAU